CUAUUUAUAGAGUGGCGCACGGGUGUAGUAACGCGUGGGAACCUGCCUUUUUCUGCGGGAUAACGGUUGGAAACGACCGCUAAUACCGCAUACGCCCUACGGGGGAAAGGUCCGCCGGAAAAAGAGGGGCCCGCGUCUGAUUAGCUUGUUGGUAGGGUAAUGGCCUACCAAGGCGACGAUCAGUAGCUGGUCUGAGAGGAUGAUCAGCCACACUGGGACUGAGACACGGCCCAGACUCCUACGGGAGGCAGCAGUGGGGAAUAUUGGACAAUGGGGGCAACCCUGAUCCAGCAAUGCCGCGUGUGUGAUGAAGGCCUUAGGGUUGUAAAGCACUUUCACUGGUGAAGAUGAUGACGGUAACCAGAGAAGAAGCCCCGGCUAACUUCGUGCCAGCAGCCGCGGUAAUACGAAGGGGGCGAGCGUUGUUCGGAAUUACUGGGCGUAAAGGGCGCGUAGGCGGUCUUUUAAGUUAGGCGUGAAAGCCCCGGGCUCAACCCGGGAACUGCGCUUAAGACUGGAAGACUAGAAAACGGAAGAGGGUAGUGGAAUUCCCAGUGUAGAGGUGAAAUUCGUAGAUAUUGGGAAGAACACCAAGUGGCGAAAGCGGCUACCUGGUCCGAUUUUGACGCUAAGGCGCGAAAGCGUGGGGAGC
This 652-nucleotide ribosomal RNA is filed under the name uncultured Alphaproteobacteria bacterium. RNAcentral's name for it is "bacterial SSU rRNA". It matches the Rfam family "Bacterial small subunit ribosomal RNA", at positions 84 to 769 of the family's 1533-position model. Lineage: Bacteria; Pseudomonadati; Pseudomonadota; Alphaproteobacteria. The record is from RNAcentral.